UGCCAUUCUCUCAUUCUCCCAUAGAAAGCUAAUUUUCUUUCAUUUUCUUUCCUUGUUUUCUUUUCAUUUCUUUUCUCUCCUUGCUUCUUUCUUCUCCCAACUUCUUGUGCACCGAAGUUACAACUUCUAACCCCAAUUUCCAGCACAUAUAAACUCUAGGAGAAGAAGAAAGAAAAAGAGAGAAAGGAAGAAAAAGAUUGAUUUUGGUGAUUCAAGCAAGUAAAGGUAAGGAUUCUUGUUUUUGGCUUGAGUAGUCUUUGAAAAUGAGUUAGUGACUUCAAGAAAUGUCUUGUGGCAGCAAAGAUUGACUUGAUUUGAGAAAAAUUGGUAACAUAUAAGCCAAUAAACCCAUGGGUACAUGAAGGACUCAAAGUGGAAAAGGAAAACGGUAAGCUUAACACUAUGUUUUAAAGCCUACGGUUAGUUGAAUAUUGUGAGGAAUUAAGGUUGCUGAAAGGAUCUAUUUUCCUAAGCUACUUGAAAAUUAUUAAGAUUGUAUGGCAUGUUUUUUGAAAGAAAUAAAAAAGGAAUAUUAUGGAUGGAGGAUUGAGAAACAAAGUAUUGAAAGUUAGAUAGAUAACGAUGCAUAUAAACUAGGAAAUAAUCGAGUGAAAGUGAGAAUGAUUGUUGCUGCCAUAUAUGUGGAUUAUGUGUGGAAAUAUAAGACGAAUUUGAAUGAAAAUGGCUAGAAAAGGUUAAUAUGGGUGCUAGAGUCAUAAUUAAGUUGCAUGUAAUUUUAAUUUGAAGAAUUACACAAGUAAAGGAUAAAAGCAACUUUGGUAAAAAUGUGUCGAGAUGUAGGUUAGUUGAAUAAGGAUUCGUGAUUGAAGGGAAAAGAGAAGUAGGAAUGAUGUACACUAAAGGUAUUGCAUUUGUAUUAUUGCUAGGAAGUGCAAAGGUAAAGUUAGAGUAUUGUGGUGGUGUACCGGAGGAAAUAACGAGCGACCGACAAGUAGGAAUAGCUUGAUACACC
RNAcentral lists this long non-coding RNA (973 nucleotides) under Theobroma cacao (cacao). RNAcentral's name for it is "long non-coding RNA (TCAC_LNC002976)". The record is from RNAcentral. Lineage: Eukaryota; Viridiplantae; Streptophyta; Magnoliopsida; Malvales; Malvaceae.